Molecule: long non-coding RNA, 480 nt
Organism: Hemicordylus capensis (graceful crag lizard)
Lineage: Eukaryota; Metazoa; Chordata; Lepidosauria; Squamata; Cordylidae
Exons: 4
Source: RefSeq, a predicted model, not a curated record
UUUACUGAGGGCCUUAGUUCAGGCUCUUGCUUUGUAUCCCAGGCUCUUUCUGUGCUUCCUAGACUCUUGCCUGGCUCGGAGACCUAUGCUGUUAAUGUGGGUACUCCUGCCCUGCUCCUUCCAGACUGUGAUUUCCCCGAGGUUGUGCCGGCUGAGUGGCAGGUACUAUUGCUAUCAGAGGGUUCAUGCAGAUGAGCAAACUACCCUGGAGUGAGCUCUUUCAACCUAGAGUAGCUUCUGGAUUGUCCUGCCAAUGGCCUCACUUUAAGAUGGAAGCUAAGAAGAGAGACACCAUAGGAUUGGACUGUGCUGGAGGUGAACUGGAAUGAAUGAGAAUUUCACUUGUUCUAAACAUUCUUCUUGUGAACAUUCUAAAGCAGAAGGAUCACUAUCUUUACAGGACACUACAGCAGCUCGGCCAAUGACUGGGAGGGAGGAAGCCUGCAAACUAGCAACAGCCAGUUAAGGCUGUAUUGUUGA